RNAcentral lists this ribosomal RNA (425 nucleotides) under uncultured bacterium. RNAcentral's name for it is "bacterial SSU rRNA". It matches the Rfam family "Bacterial small subunit ribosomal RNA", at positions 506 to 929 of the family's 1533-position model. The record is from RNAcentral.
UGCCAGCAGCCGCGGUAAUACGUAGGUGGCAAGCGUUAUCCGGAAUUAUUGGGCGUAAAGCGCGCGUAGGCGGUUUUUUAAGUCUGAUGUGAAAGCCCACGGCUCAACCGUGGAGGGUCAUUGGAAACUGGAAAACUUGAGUGCAGAAGAGGAAAGUGGAAUUCCAUGUGUAGCGGUGAAAUGCGCAGAGAUAUGGAGGAACACCAGUGGCGAAGGCGACUUUCUGGUCUGUAACUGACGCUGAUGUGCGAAAGCGUGGGGAUCAAACAGGAUUAGAUACCCUGGUAGUCCACGCCGUAAACGAUGAGUGCUAAGUGUUAGGGGGUUUCCGCCCCUUAGUGCUGCAGCUAACGCAUUAAGCACUCCGCCUGGGGAGUACGACCGCAAGGUUGAAACUCAAAGGAAUUGACGGGGGCCCGCACAAG